RNAcentral lists this ribosomal RNA (253 nucleotides) under uncultured bacterium. Its description in RNAcentral is "partial 16S ribosomal RNA". It matches the Rfam family "Bacterial small subunit ribosomal RNA", at positions 524 to 776 of the family's 1533-position model. The record is from RNAcentral.
UACGUAGGGGGCUAGCGUUGUCCGGAAUCAUUGGGCGUAAAGAGCGUGUAGGCGGCCCGGUAAGUCCGCUGUGAAAGUCGGGGGCUCAACCCUCGGAUGCCGGUGGAUACUGUCGGGCUCGAGUACGGAAGAGGCGAGUGGAAUUCCUGGUGUAGCGGUGAAAUGCGCAGAUAUCAGGAGGAACACCGGUGGCGAAGGCGGGUCUCUGGGCCGAUACUGACGCUGAGGAGCGAAAGCGUGGGGAGCGAACAGG